RNAcentral lists this ribosomal RNA (221 nucleotides) under Staphylococcus sp. RNAcentral describes it as "partial 16S ribosomal RNA". It matches the Rfam family "Bacterial small subunit ribosomal RNA", at positions 565 to 785 of the family's 1533-position model. The record is from RNAcentral. Lineage: Bacteria; Bacillati; Bacillota; Bacilli; Caryophanales; Staphylococcaceae.
GCGCGCGUAGGCGGUUUUUUAAGUCUGAUGUGAAAGCCCACGGCUCAACCGUGGAGGGUCAUUGGAAACUGGAAAACUUGAGUGCAGAAGAGGAAAGUGGAAUUCCAUGUGUAGCGGUGAAAUGCGCAGAGAUAUGGAGGAACACCAGUGGCGAAGGCGACUUUCUGGUCUGUAACUGACGCUGAUGUGCGAAAGCGUGGGGAUCAAACAGGAUUAGAUAC